UAGGGGAAGAAUUCCUCAUAACUCAAAUAAGGGAUUAAAGUACACUACGAAUGUAUACAUUCAUUUUUAAUUAGGUAAAUGUUGCUCUGAAUCCUUGGAUCAAGAGCCAUUGCUAAACAAAACGAAAAUUGCUAGGUUGGCGGGAAGCAGCAGCCAAUUAAAGCCACGAUUUAACCUAUGACGUCACAGACUCGACAGCCAAGACCCAGUAGCCAAUCAAGAGUUGUGACGUCACUGUUGAGGAUGUAUACAUCAUGGUUGAUAAGCCAAUGAAAGUGCUCAUAGGCUCAUACGUCACAGUCUGGUGGUGGUGCAUAAGUCCCCGCCUCAGUCAUGCGUAGGAGAGGUUGAUGUGAGAGUGCUCGCUCCUCUGGGGGAGAUUGCUCCAAAUCCUUGGAUCAAGAGCCCAUCACCUGCCAGGUGUAUGCAUGUCACCGCUCCGGCCACAGCCAAUGAAAACGAGAGUUACUAAGUUGGCGGAAAACAGAAGCCAAUUACAGCCUAGAUUAGCCUAUGACGUCACGGGUUCGAGCGCCAAAACCCAGCAGCCAAUCAGCAGUCGUGAUGUCACUUGACAAGCCAAUCAAAGCGCACAGAGACUACUACGUCACAGUGGUGGUGGUAAGUCAUGCGCGGGAGAUGGCGUGAGGGCGCGCGCUCCUCUGGUAAGCAUUUUUCCCAUAUUUCUCCUAAAUUACUUGUCAUUUACAUUGUUUUUACAUGGUAAUAUAAAGUGUGUGUAUAUCUGAAAUAGUAAUACUGCAAAAUAUGGUAAGUAACUUUUAAUGUCACCACUUAAGUGGCUGUAAAUUGUCAUGUACCACUUGCAUAAGUUGUCACUAGCACUAAAUGGUAAAUUGUUUACAAAUUGUAAGUGGUGGGUAGUAACGUAUGUCGUUUUACCACUUUGUCGUUUAUGGUUGUAACUUGCCACUUCACUAAUGUCACUUAUAAGUGGUCGUUUAUGGUCUUGUAAUUUGUCACCACCAAUUAAGUGGCAAUUUAGUAUGGCAUCACAAUACCACUUGUAUGUGGUCAAUUAUAAUUGUACCUUUUACACUUUAUCACUUACGUAAGUGGUCGUUAGUUUAUAUAUUCUGUAAGUGGCAUUUAAUAUCACCUUUACGGGCAGGAUCUUGAUCCAAGGAAUCUGAGCCACUAUUUCCAGUAGUGACUUCCAUUCCCCAGGCACUGUAUGACCCCCCCCCGGGUUUAGCGCUUUACCGUAAAUGCCACGGCACAGCAUGUGCGCUCAGUUGGCGCCAUUAACUCGCGUUCUUGGCGCCAAUGUGUGAAAUCCGCUCUAGGAAGCGCAAAGCCAGGUCUCUCAGCCCCCCAAAUGAUUAAUGAGUUUCAAAACUUAACCACGCGUGGGUCAAGUGUAUAUAUACACUUGAAAUGUUUAUAUAUAAACGUGUAUAUAUACUCGGUGUAUAUACAUUGAAAUUCAGAAUAUAUAUAAAAUAUUUUCUCAUUUCUGGACUAUUUCUACAUAUAAUUGCUUUUAUUGGGGGGUGCUCCAAAUCCUUGGAUCAAGAGUUCAUCAAAAUGUCCUGGCCACAGCCAAAUACAAAGUUGGCGGGAAGCAGCAGCCAAUUAGUCUCGAGUUAACCUAUGACGUCACGGGUUCGAGCGCCAAGACCCAGCAGCCAGUCAGUAAUCGUGACGUCACUUGGCCAAACAUACGUCACUGUCGAUCAGCCAAUCACUUCAGCGGCUCCUACGUGACUGGUGGUGGUGCGGGAGCCCGCGAAAACUGGCGUCUCAGUCAUGCACUGGAGAAAGUGGUAGGGGGGGGGUGUGCACUCUGUUGAAAAAACCAUACCCCUGGCAGGGAUUGAACCCGCGGUCAUAGUUGAAGCAGACGAGUUCACCAGUAGCUGUUAGCCUUUAUGGUAAGUGGUAACGUUUGUCACUUUCACUUGUAAGUGAUCAGUUAUUACUUAUCCCUUUACCAUUUGUCUACAACUUAUGCUAUUUUACCACUUUUAUGACCUUGCCAUUUGUCACUUUC
Molecule: non-coding RNA, 2014 nt
Organism: Cherax quadricarinatus
Lineage: Eukaryota; Metazoa; Arthropoda; Malacostraca; Decapoda; Parastacidae
Source: RefSeq, a predicted model, not a curated record